AAUAAGGGAAUAGCAGUGACCGUUUAAUGGAAACAAGCUGCUCUUCAGAGAAUAUUCUGUUAGUCGGAAAGUUUUAUGUCCAAUUAUAUAGAAUAAAUGUAUAUAAAAUGUAGUAAACAACAUGCUAAAUUUAUUCCCCACUUUAAUCAUGGACUACUAGAUAGACGUCUCGACUCAACAGCAACCAUAUUUGACAAAAAAAUAGUAUGUGUACAUGAAAUAACGUUACAUACAUUAUUACACUGUAGUAGAGAAUUCCCCCUACUGAGGGCACUGCAUGACACUAUUUAAUUGACUGAGUUUUUUGUGCGCAAUUAUUUAUGUUUGGCUCCGCUGAGUCUGGCUCUCCUCAAGUGAGGAAAUAUCGAUCAGCGCAUAGCCGCGAUCUCAGACAAGCGACUGGUGCCCAGUUGCCCACUCUGUACAUGAACUGAUCAUUCACCUUCGGAUUGGUUAUUGAUAUAUGCACUAGCUAAUAAGGGCCGGUGGUAUUGGAUCCCUAUAUAUACAGUCAGUCCCCAUGACUGUUCCUUUCAGUUGACAUAAGAGUGGGAUUUAUGGCAGUGUAUUCAUGGGCUGCGCGUGUAAAAGGUGACUUCAAAACCAUUUCUUGCCCAGGGACCCACUCCCAGGCAAACCGGUGACCCAUGGACUCCCAUCAUACAUUAACAAAAACAGCAUCAGCGAAGGCUGGGUAUCUGGGCCUGGUCGGGGGUCUGUAGUAUCUCCCUCCUGUCCGACUCAUUGAAGAAAAACUCUUAGUCUAAUCUGGAGGUGAGUAAUCGCAGUUCUGAUGUCCAGAAGCUCUUGUCGGUCAUACUACUCUAUAUUGCUUGUCCUCGUGUGUCCGUUCAUGUUUUUCAGCAUAAAGUACUCUGCAGCCACUUUGUGUGGACACCAGGUGAGGCCACACACAGAUUCUUGUUCAAACACUGUCCCUUUAACGACCUUAUUUUCUCAAUAACAGUCUCUCGCCUUCACUUCUAGGUUAUAUCAGCCGUGUCUGUGAACCCCUCCUGCAUCUGAACUUGCUACAUAGAGUGCACAGAAUGAUCAGAGGUAUGUUUUGAUGUGAGAGAGGAUGCCAACCCCCAGUCCAGUCAUCGCCACCUCACCCGCUCUUAAAAUAAGUGUCUCUAGUCAGCCCCAAAGGUUAUGUCAUUAUGAUGAACUGAGAGAACAUUAGGGUAGCACUGUAAUUCAUUAAUCAUAUGCUGCCUUCCCUGCUCCUCUGUUCUUACCUCUUUCCCUUUCUGUCUUUUACACCUCUCUUGCCACCUCUUUCUUCCUCUGUUUUUAUAAUGCACAACAGAUGUGCAUUGAAGUAAAGAUUGAACUUGUAUUUAUAAUAUAGUAUUACAAUUAGAAUAUUUAUAAUGCAUGUAUUUAUAACACUUGGAUAAUUAACUUCUUUCAAUAAAGCAUUUCACAUUCUCUACUGGUUGAAAUUAAGUCUCUCAUUUGAUUAAAUACUACACCUAUUCUGUGCUAGAUCAACGCAAAUGAAGGAAAUUAGAUAUUGAGAUGAACCGGUUUUAGAGUAUUUACAUGAUGCAUAGGAAGUGUAGUGUAGUGUAAUGUUUUUCAAUUAUAUUCUAUUUCUGUUUAUAUGAAUUACAAAUCAACCUUUAACUAGUUAAAUAAUGUGUAACCAUUGAUGUCCCAGGACCAAGAUUGGCAAACACUGUUGAAGUGCAUACACGCAGACACAGCAUCAUUCAAAGACUGGAAUUUGAUACUCCUGGUAUUGGAUAUGACUGAAAUUACAUUAAUUCAUUAAUUCAUACCUGAACUGCACCUCUAUUUGCCAUGGUAGAGUACAUGAUUAGAGAAUAUAUUACAUGUACGGGCUACAAUGUGGGGAUCUCAUGUAUGGUAAUAACUACACGUAUAUCCAAUCCAAAGUUAAAUCUAGAAUUGGCUUCCUAUUUCGCAACAAAGCAUCCUUCACUCAUGCUGCCAAACAUACCCCUGUAACUGACCAUCCUACCAAUCCUCGACUUUGGCGAUGUCAUUUACAAAAUAGCCUCCAAUACCCUACUCAACAAAUUGGAUGCAGUCUAUCACAGUGCAAUCCGUUUUGUCACCAAAGCCCCAUAUACUACCCACCAUUGCGACCUGUACGCUCUCUUUGGCUGGCCCUCGCUUCAUACUCGUCGCCAAACCCACUGGCUCCAUGUCAUCUACAAGACCCUGCUAGGUAAAGUCCCCCCUUAUCUCAGCUCGCUGGUCACCAUAGCAUCUCCCACCUGUAGCACACGCUCCAGCAGGUAUAUCUCUCUAGUCACCCCCAAAACCAAUUCUUUCUUUGGCCGCCUCUCCUUUCAGUUCUCUGCUGCCAAUGACUGGAACGAACUACAAAAAUCUCUGAAACUGGAAACACUUAUCUCCCUCACUAGCUUUAAGCACCAACUGGCAGAGCAUGUUACAGAUUACUGCACCUGUACAUAGCCCACCUAUAAUUGAGCCCAAACAACUACCUCUUUCCCAACUGUAUUUAAUUCAUUUAUUGAUUUAUUUUGCUCCUUUGCACCCCAUUAUUUUUAUUUCUACUUUGCACAUUCUUCCACUGCAAAACUACCAUUCCAGUGUUUUACUUGCUAUAUUGUAUUUACUUUGCCACCAUGCCCUUUUUUGCCUUUACCUCCCUUCUCACCUCAUUUGCUCACAUCGUAUAUAGACUUGUUUCUACUGUAUUAUUGACUGUAUGUUUGUUUUACUCCAUGUGUAACUCUGUGUCGUUGUAUCUGUCGAACUGCUUUGCUUUAUCUUGGCCAGGUCGCAAUUGUAAAUGAGAACUUGUUCUCAACUUGCCUAACUGGUUAAAUAAAGGUGAAAUAAAUAAAUAAAUAAAAAAAAUAAAAAAAAAUAUACGACUUGCAUCCUUGGCACAAAGUUACAUUCUAGUCAAUCCAUCAGCUUCGUCAAUGUCAUUCACUGUUUUGAAGUUGAUACAACUGGCUAUGAUAGUUGAGGUUCAUAGCUAGGUUCUGAACUACUAUGUAAAACCUAACGUUUUAGGGUCCAUACACAGAUCGGCUACAACGCUAGCUACACAUCCAUGGGCAUACAGGGUCAGCAUGGCUACUCUGGCCUGUGGCUGGACAGCGAUUUUGGCAGUGGGCAUAGCCGAGCACGGCCUCACUGCACCAGCUAUAGCAGCCCUCGGCUCUCUGCUGAGGAGGACUUCACCCAUGACUCUCUGGACACCCUGGACUCUCCCUGAGGAGGACAGUCUCUCACCUCUCACAUAUAUUUUUUUCUAUUUAAAAAAAAAAUUAUGUCUCUUAAUGCUGUGCAAGUAUCAUUGUGUUUCUCAUUUCUACCUGCAGGUGGAGAUAGAGGCACAUUUAUUAAAGGAAGUAACCUACCACAUAUGGAUGACAGUCAGGUUUUUAAAUUUUUUUCUUUAUUUAACCAGGCAAGUCAGUUAAGAACAAAUUCUUAUUUUCAAUGACGGCCUAGGAACAGUGGGUUAACUGCCUGUUCAGGGGCAGAACGACAGAUUUGUACCUUGUCAGCUCAGGGGUUUGAACUUGUAACCUUCCGGUUACUAGUCCAACGCUCUAACCCCUGCCGCCCCAGGUUGGGGUGUUCUGUGAAGGUAGAGACAGGAGGCAAGAGGAGCAUCCUUGAUGCUGGCCACGAUGGAGAUUGCAGUGAAGACCCUUCAUAGCCAGGGUCAGAGGAGUGCAAUAGAUAAUGAGAGGAAUGACUUAAGGUUCUGAUUGAGGAUUUUCUGCUUUUCAAAUGGACGUGUAGAAAUUAUGGGGAUUUAUCACAAUUUCUUCUCAGACAAGACAUUUCAAGUUGAAGAAGGAGUGUGCUAAUCAAAUCCAAAUGUAUUUGUCACAUGCACCGAAUACAACAUUUCACCUUACCGUGUAAUGCUUACUUAUAAGCCCUUAACCAACAAUACAGUUAAAGAAAUUGAGUUAAGAAAAUAUUUGCAAAAUAAACUAAAGUAAAAAAAAAAAA
Oncorhynchus keta (chum salmon) is the source of this 3978-nucleotide long non-coding RNA. RefSeq lists it as uncharacterized. NCBI's taxonomy places the organism in Eukaryota, Metazoa, Chordata, Actinopteri, Salmoniformes, Salmonidae. The record is from RefSeq and is a predicted model, not a curated record. The transcript has 5 exons.